RNAcentral lists this ribosomal RNA (426 nucleotides) under uncultured bacterium. RNAcentral describes it as "bacterial SSU rRNA". It matches the Rfam family "Bacterial small subunit ribosomal RNA", at positions 31 to 502 of the family's 1533-position model. The record is from RNAcentral.
GUACGCUGGCGGCACGCCUAACACAUGCAAGUCGAACGAAGUAGCAAUACUUAGUGGCAGACGGGUGAGUAACAUGUAGGUAUCUGCCCUUUGGCCUGGAAUAACACGAGGAAACUUGUGCUAAUACCGGAUAAGUCUUUACGGAGAAAGCUUUAUGCGCCAUUGGAUGAGCCUGCACUUGAUUAGUUUGUUGGUGGGGUAAUGGCCUACCAAGACUGUGAUCAAUAGCUGAUCUGAGAGGAUGAUCAGCCACAUUGGGACUGAGACACGGCCCAAACUCCUACGGGAGGCAGCAGUAGGGAAUAUUGCACAAUGGAGGAAACUCUGAUGCAGCGAUGCCGCGUGAGUGAAGAAGGCCUUUGGGUUGUAAAGCUCUUUCGUCGGGGAAGAAAAUGACUGUACCCGAAUAAGAAGGUCCGGCUAACU